Molecule: ribosomal RNA, 449 nt
Filed under: uncultured soil bacterium
Lineage: Bacteria
Description: partial 16S ribosomal RNA
Source: RNAcentral
GGAAUUCGAUUCGGUGUGACAAGGCCCGGGAACGUAUUCACCGCAGCGUUGCUGAUCUGCGAUUACUAGCGACUCCGACUUCAUGGGGUCGAGUUGCAGACCCCAAUCCGAGCUGAGACCGGCUUUUUGGGAUUCGCUCCAUCUUGCGAUAUCGCAGCCCUUUGUACCGGCCAUUGUAGCAUGCGUGAAGCCCUGGACAUAAGGGGCAUGAUGACUUGACGUCAUCCCCACCUUCCUCCGAGUUGACCCCGGCAGUCUCCUAUGAGUCCCCGGCAUUACCCGCUGGCAACAUAGGACGAGGGUUGCGCUCGUUGCGGGACUUAACCCAACAUCUCACGACACGAGCUGACGACAGCCAUGCACCACCUGUAUACCGACAAAAGGGGCUCCAUCUCUGGAGCUUUCCGGCAUAUGUCAAACCCAGGUAAGGUUCUUCGCGUUAAUCACUA